This is a non-coding RNA of Macaca mulatta (Rhesus monkey), 1164 nucleotides long. The record is from RefSeq and is a predicted model, not a curated record. NCBI's taxonomy places the organism in Eukaryota, Metazoa, Chordata, Mammalia, Primates, Cercopithecidae.
UGAUGGUUCAUCUAUUGGAAAAACACAAAUCAGCUGUCAAAAGGCCUUUAUUUGUGCAAUAGUUCAGAUUACAGCACCAUUGGGCAACCCCUGUGAAGGAUCAUUCACUUUAACUUUCUGAGAUGCUGGUAUUUCAUCACUUUUGUUGAGGUUCCAUGUGGUUUGGUUCUCUGGAACUAACAAUGGCCCCUGACCAGAACUAGGUCUGCUUCUGAUUCAAAUAAGCAGAGUGAAAGAAAGGCUUUCUUCUCAGAGCACCUGGGCAGUGCCGUAUGCCAAGAGGCCAUGGAGGACAAUGGUGAAGCAUGGGGAUUCCAGGGCAAGCUCUGGAGAAUCUGAGUCAGUGAGGAACACCCUGGAGAAUCUGAAAAAGUCUGCAAUGCUGAGAUGUGAUAGGCUUUAACACCCGACAAAGAACUAGAAAGCAUCUUGCCAUCCUUCAAAACUCACUUUUGCGACUUAAUUGCUCUCUGCUCAGUGUUUCCAUAACGCUUUGUCUAACACUGAGCUUCUAAUGUACUGAGUUCGUCUACAAGUCUCCCUCGUCUUCUAGACUUUGAGCUCCUCAAAGGCAAGGACUGGGACUUAUUUAUUUUUGCAUCCAUUGCCUGUAUUUUUGCAUCCAAUGCCUGUAACCUGAUAGCUCUAUAAAUGUUUGUUGACUGAUGAAUGAUAUCUUACUUAAAUGUUUAUGCUCAGGCUGACACUGAGAGCCAAAUCAGAGAGGCAGAAAAUUAUAAUGCAGCCAGUUCCCUAGGAGUUUAAUUAAGUCUGAAUAGAAAUCAUCACCAGUUGGAUUUGGGAACAAGACUAGGAGGCAAAAGCUAAUAAGAUUGAGACCUGAUAACCUAGUUGAAUAUUGAAAAAGGACAAAAUCCUAUUUGCCUCUGUUGAUUAGUUAACAGUGAUGAGAUUGGUAAACUCCUGGGAAAGACCCAGUGUUCUCUGGGUACGUACCAAGCUACUGCAGGGAAGCAUGUCGCCAGCAAGUGGUGCUGUGGAAUUGGGGUGAAGGUCAUUCAGCCUAUUCAGCUUCAGUAACACCAGAGCCUACAGGGCACAUAGAUGGCCUAAUCCAUCUAUGGAUUAGGUGUUUUGAUGUCAAUAUUUGGAUUUUUUCUUCUUAACAAUAUGCUAGAUUUAAUAAAUGGUUUUAUUUAUUUA